Molecule: ribosomal RNA, 420 nt
Filed under: Bacillus cereus
Lineage: Bacteria; Bacillati; Bacillota; Bacilli; Caryophanales; Bacillaceae
Description: bacterial SSU rRNA
Rfam family: Bacterial small subunit ribosomal RNA
Source: RNAcentral
UUGAUCCUGGCUCAGGAUGAACGCUGGCGGCGUGCCUAAUACAUGCAAGUCGAGCGAAUGGAUUAAGAGCUUGCUCUUAUGAAGUUAGCGGCGGACGGGUGAGUAACACGUGGGUAACCUGCCCAUAAGACUGGGAUAACUCCGGGAAACCGGGGCUAAUACCGGAUAACAUUUUGAACCGCAUGGUUCGAAAUUGAAAGGCGGCUUCGGCUGUCACUUAUGGAUGGACCCGCGUCGCAUUAGCUAGUUGGUGAGGUAACGGCUCACCAAGGCAACGAUGCGUAGCCGACCUGAGAGGGUGAUCGGCCACACUGGGACUGAGACACGGCCCAGACUCCUACGGGAGGCAGCAGUAGGGAUCUUCCGCAAGGACGAAAGUCUGACGGAGCAACGCCGCGUGAGUGAGAGGCUUUCGGGUCG